RNAcentral lists this unclassified non-coding RNA (212 nucleotides) under Hevea brasiliensis (rubber tree). The record is from RNAcentral. Lineage: Eukaryota; Viridiplantae; Streptophyta; Magnoliopsida; Malpighiales; Euphorbiaceae.
AACGAAUUGCUAUGCUGAUUUCCUGUUAUCUGAAGCAAAAACACUUACAGAGGAUCAGAUAUCGAUGUUACUUUGGGAGACGAUCAUUGAAACCUCAGACACGACUCUGGUUGUAACAGAAUGGGCUAUGUAUGAACUUGCAAAAGAUCCGAAACGACAGGACUAUCUGUAUCAGCAUAUACUGAAUGUCUGUGGAUCUGCAAAGCUUACUG